GUAGCUCAGUGGUAGAGCAGCUGCUUUGUAUGCAGCAAGUCCCAGGUUCAGACCCCGGGGCA
Molecule: transfer RNA, 62 nt
Filed under: Podarcis lilfordi (Lilford's wall lizard)
Lineage: Eukaryota; Metazoa; Chordata; Lepidosauria; Squamata; Lacertidae
Description: tRNA.Thr
Rfam family: tRNA
About the family: Transfer RNA (tRNA) molecules are approximately 80 nucleotides in length. Their secondary structure includes four short double-helical elements and three loops (D, anti-codon, and T loops). Further hydrogen bonds mediate the characteristic L-shaped molecular structure. tRNAs have two regions of fundamental functional importance: the anti-codon, which is responsible for specific mRNA codon recognition, and the 3' end, to which the tRNAs corresponding amino acid is attached (by aminoacyl-tRNA synthetases). tRNAs cope with the degeneracy of the genetic code in two manners: having more than one tRNA (with a specific anti-codon) for a particular amino acid; and 'wobble' base-pairing, i.e. permitting non-standard base-pairing at the 3rd anti-codon position.
Source: RNAcentral